Molecule: long non-coding RNA, 859 nt
Filed under: Olea europaea subsp. europaea
Lineage: Eukaryota; Viridiplantae; Streptophyta; Magnoliopsida; Lamiales; Oleaceae
Source: RNAcentral
CGCUCUUAAAGCACUCAAGUUUAAAAUUACACUACGUCAAAUAGAGUUUCCUUCACUAGCAACGAACGAACAAAAUAGCCUCAAGAUGAACAGUGGCAACGAUGCAGCUGCACUUUUCGAUUUUUCCAGCGGCAGUCUAGAGGGUGGAAACAAGAUAAAGCGCUCUGAUUUUCCCUCAGAUUUUAUCUUUGGUUCGGCAACAUCUGCUUAUCAGGUUUAUAUCUGUGUAAUUUUUACAAGAAUUAUGCUACAUGUACACCGACCUGUCUACAAUUCCCAUCACAAGAGGGGGGCCCAAGAUUGUUUUAUUGGACGCAAGCCUUCUCUUGUGAGGGUGAUGCAAGCUCGGUGUACAAACAUAAAAAUCCUUUUUACAAAGCUCAGCAAAUCAAUUAAUCAUCCUGGCCACAAGUGUAUUUAUUUAAAUGCUUUUUAUAUUUACUCAAAAAAGAGAAAAAAAACAUGCUUUGUUUUCAUUAUUAUUAUUUUGGUUGAUUUUUUCUUUGCAAUGUAAUUCAGGUUGAAGGUGCUUGGGCAGCAGGAGGAAAAAGUCAAAGCAUCUAGGAAAAUGAUGGAUUGGUCACAUAUUUACUAUUGGUGGUGUUGUUAUGGCAAUAAGAGGGAUAAUUGGUUGAAGGAAAUUGAGUGGAACUAUCAAUGACAGAAAAUUGUAUUAUUGCUGGAUUCUGCCUAUUCAACCUUUGGUUUGGAUAAUACCUUGAGUAAAACUUGUAUUCAUUAAUAUGAAUGUUUUAUUUUAGAAGAGUUAGAAGUAAAUAAAUUAUAUUUAAUGGUUUAUAAUCUAACAUGUGGCAUGCAAAUCCAAGUAAAACUCGAAACAAAAAUAGUGAAAUUCCAG